Molecule: long non-coding RNA, 404 nt
Filed under: Ananas comosus (pineapple)
Lineage: Eukaryota; Viridiplantae; Streptophyta; Magnoliopsida; Poales; Bromeliaceae
Description: long non-coding RNA (ACOM_LNC040518)
Source: RNAcentral
GGGCCUAGUGGUGCAUUGAGCUGAGGUCAGUAAUUGCCCACUGGGAACUAUAAAUUAUAGUUCUCACGCCCUCUUUUUCUCGAUGUUUUUCAGAGCCUUCCGCGCAGGGUGAGGCCAGGGAUCGCGGGAAGGGAGUUGCUUCGAGCUAGCUUCCUUCGAGGACGAGUUGCUAGGUGGUCCACCUCUCGAUUUAUAUUUCUUUUUGCGAGAGGUUGAGGAGUUUACCAGUGUACUAGAGACCACCAUUUUUGUACUAGAGACAGAUAUUGUACUACUUAUGACUCCUUUUAUUGUUUAGCUUUACUUCUGUACUUUGGUGUAGAUGUUAGAUCUAUACUCGCUCUGAUAUCAUUAGUUGCUAGUUAUUUCACCUCUUCUAUUUGUCCUACUAUUUGCUUUUACUU